This 253-nucleotide ribosomal RNA is filed under the name uncultured bacterium. Its description in RNAcentral is "partial 16S ribosomal RNA". It matches the Rfam family "Bacterial small subunit ribosomal RNA", at positions 524 to 776 of the family's 1533-position model. The record is from RNAcentral.
UACGUAGGGGACGAGCGUUGUCCGGAAUCACUGGGCGUAAAGCGCACGUAGGCGGAUGUGUCAGUCAGGGGUGAAAUCCCGGAGCUCAACUUCGGAACUGCCUUUGAUACAGCACGUCUUGAGUCCGAUAGAGGUGGGUGGAAUUCCUAGUGUAGAGGUGAAAUUCGUAGAUAUUAGGAAGAACACCGGUGGCGAAGGCGGCCCACUGGAUCGGUACUGACGCUGAGGUGCGAAAGCGUGGGGAGCAAACAGG